Schizosaccharomyces pombe (fission yeast) is the source of this 1505-nucleotide non-coding RNA. The record is from the annotation of a GenBank genome assembly. NCBI's taxonomy places the organism in Eukaryota, Fungi, Ascomycota, Schizosaccharomycetes, Schizosaccharomycetales, Schizosaccharomycetaceae.
UGUUACGGCCAUCAAUUACGACACAUACUAAAACCUUUUCCCAACUCUCAUUUCCCCAUACCCGCGACUUAGACCGUGAGCAAAGAUGUUUUAAAUUAUUCAUGAUACUAGAAAGAGAAAUGGCAAAAGAUGCCAAAUCCUCAUCGCUAAGUGUUAGACAAACAGCAAUUUGAAUGUCGCGACCCGUGGACCAUGUUCGUAGUUGAAGCCCAUUAUUAUUCAUAUCUUCUGGUUGGCAGGUAAUGGCCGAAUACCGCAGGAAACUUGCUUCAUCGGGGUUUUUUUGCAUAAAUGGACCAAGCAUGCCACGUAAGUCUAUUGGCGUUGGGCAAUCAAUAGUCAGGCUUCCACAUAAUAAUGGAACAUCUUUGGAAUAGUGCGAACUUGAUGAAUUCAAGCGAUCAAUCGAGGUGUAUGACUGACUGUGCGUCAUUGGUUCAUUGACGGGCGAAGCAGAGAUUUCUGAAUUAAAGUCCAGAUACUCAUUCUUGGAGGAAUUUUCAUAACCGUCGUCUGAGUUACUAUUCACAGUAUGGGUUGGUUGAAGAGGAACGCUAAAAACUCCAGUUUUGUGAAGUGGAGGGAUAGGUGGCUCGUGUUCAUCAAAUGAACGCUCCUCAAAAUCGUAAACUGAAUCUGUGUAAGAAAAAGCAUCUUCUUCCAAGGUCCUUAACGUCUUCAUAUACUCGACUUUUUGAUCGUCAGGAGAUUUUAUCUCAUCAUACUCAUCGUAACAAGGAAAGCUUUUAGAAGAACUCGAACUGAGGGUCGAACUAGAAUAUGCUGUUUCUUCAUCUACACUACUGUGACUGACCCAGUUUCGUAAAUCCUGCGAAUCUUGAGUGUCCUUAGGUUGCAAGAAGGACCGGUGUUUAGCAUUAAUAUAGCUGGGAUUCUGAAAACUCAUGUUGAUGCUUUCAAAAAUUUCCACAAAGCAAGAAAUGAAUAAAAGUGUUUGGGUUGUUUGAUAUUAUAAAUUUUCCAGAUAGCGAUAAUUCCUUGCUUUUAGAGGGCUUAAGACGAUCAAUACCAAAGCCUCAGAACAAGCAGAAUGAUGGACCACAGCUUGCUUUUAUUCCAUUCGAAAUUGUUACUGAUUUCAUUGUUUACAAAUUUAGAAACGAUGUUUGUUUACGAAGCAGAUGCCAUAGUAACGAGGUAGCCAUGCAACGCGUGCGUAGCCUAUGAGAACGUACAGGAGAUGCAGCGCCAUAAUUUGUACUGCGUACUCCGUAAAAUGAGAAUAAUGAGCAAAAGGGUAUAGUAUUUUUUCAACGUUCAAAAGUAACGAACAGUCAAAGAUGCUAGAUGGGGCAAGGAAACGACUAAAAAAUUGAUGUCAGAAUUUCUUGACACAAUAAACAUGAAUUAAAAUUCUUUACUCUAAUCAAAGAAUGAAAUUAAUGAUUUUUAAAUUCAACUCAACUGCUGAUGUUUUGGAAAUUAGUUAAGGUAGGCAGGUGUGUGUAGCACGCACGUUACGUGAUGACAUUUACUUGUGUCAA